Molecule: ribosomal RNA, 629 nt
Filed under: uncultured Russulaceae
Lineage: Eukaryota; Fungi; Basidiomycota; Agaricomycetes; Russulales; Russulaceae
Description: LSU rRNA
Rfam family: Eukaryotic large subunit ribosomal RNA
Source: RNAcentral
UAAGCGGAGGAAAAGAAACUAACAGGAUUCCCCUAGUAACUGCGAGUGAAGCGGGAAAAGCUCAAAUUUGGAAUCUGGUGGUCUUUGNNCAUCCGAGUUGUAAUUUAGAGAAGCGUCUUCCGCGCUGAACCGUGCACAAGUCUCCUGGAAUGGAGCGUCAUAGAGGGUGAGAAUCCCGUCUUUGGCAUGGAAUCCCAGGGCUUCUGUGAUGCGCUCUCGACGAGUCGAGUUGUUUGGGAAUGCAGCUCAAAAUGGGUGGUGAACUCCAUCUAAAGCUAAAUAUUGGCGAGAGACCGAUAGCGAACAAGUACCGUGAAGGAAAGAUGAAAAGCACUUUGGAAAGAGAGUGAAACAGUACGUGAAAUUGUUGAAAGGGAAACGCUUGAGGUCAGUCGCGUCGACCGAGACUCAGCCUUGCCUCGGCUUGGUGUACUUCUCGGCUUGACGGGUCAGCAUCGAUUUCAAUCCUCGGAUAAUGGCAAGGGAAAGGUAGCACCUUUUUAGGUGUGUUAUAGUCCUCUGUCGCAUGCGAGGGUCGGGAUCGAGGAACUCAGCACGCACCUCAGGGUGUCGGGGCCUUGGCCCACGUUUACGUGCUUAGGAUGCUGGCGUAAUGGCUUUAAACGACC